CAUGGUUGUCGUCAGCUCGUGUCGUGAGAUGUUGGGUUAAGUCCCGCAACGAGCGCAACCCCUACGUUUAGUGCUAACGCGUGAAGGCGAGCACUCUAGACGAACUGCCGUUGACAAAACGGAGGAAGUGGGAUGACGUCAAAUCAUCAUGCCCCCUAUGUUCUGGGCUACACACGUGCUACAAUGGCCGGUACAGACGGACGCAAAGCCGCGAGGUGGAGCAAAUCCUAAAAAGCCGGUCUCAGUUCGGAUUGCAGGCUGCAAUUCGCCUGCAUGAAGUCGGAAUCGCUAGUAAUCGCAGGUCAGCAUACUGCGGUGAAUACGUUCCCGGGCCUU
RNAcentral lists this ribosomal RNA (336 nucleotides) under uncultured Pelotomaculum sp. RNAcentral describes it as "bacterial SSU rRNA". It matches the Rfam family "Bacterial small subunit ribosomal RNA", at positions 1044 to 1382 of the family's 1533-position model. The record is from RNAcentral. Lineage: Bacteria; Bacillati; Bacillota; Clostridia; Eubacteriales; Desulfotomaculaceae.